AACGAACGCUGGCGGUAGGCCUAACACAUGCAAGUCGAGCGAUCCUUUCGGGGAUAGCGGCGGACGGGUUAGUAACGCGUGGGAACGUGCCCAAAGGUACGGAAUAGCAUCGGGAAACUGGUGGUAAUACCGUAUGUGCCCCUCGGGGGAAAGAUUUAUCGCCUUUGGAUCGGCCCGCGUAAGAUUAGAUAGUUGGUGAGGUAAUGGCUCACCAAGUCUACGAUCUUUAUCUGGUUUGAGAGGAUGAUCAGAAACACUGGGACUGAGACACGGCCCAGACUCCUACGGGAGGCAGCAGUGGGGAAUCUUGGACAAUGGGCGCAAGCCUGAUCCAGCCAUACCGCGUGAGUGAAGAAGGCCUUAGGGUUGUAAAGCUCUUUCAGGGGUGAGGAUUAUGACAGUAACCCCAGAAGAAGCACCGGCUAACUUCG
RNAcentral lists this ribosomal RNA (431 nucleotides) under uncultured Alphaproteobacteria bacterium. RNAcentral's name for it is "bacterial SSU rRNA". It matches the Rfam family "Bacterial small subunit ribosomal RNA", at positions 29 to 505 of the family's 1533-position model. The record is from RNAcentral. Lineage: Bacteria; Pseudomonadati; Pseudomonadota; Alphaproteobacteria.